GACGAACGCUGGCGGCGUGCUUAACACAUGCAAGUCGAACGGAAAGGCCCUGCUUUUGUGGGGUGCUCGAGUGGCGAACGGGUACGUAACACGUGAGUAACCUGCCCUUGACUUUGGGAUAACUUAAGGAAACUGGGGCUAAUACCGGAUAGGAGCUCCUGCUGCAUGGUGGGGGUUGGAACGUUGCGGCGGUUGGGGAUGGACUCGCGGCUUAUCAGCUUGUUGGUGGGGUAGUGGCUUACCCAGGCUUUGACGGGUCGCCGGCCUGAGAGGGUGACCGGGGACAUUGGGACUGAGGUAGGGCCCAGACUCCUACGGGAGGCAGCAGUGGGGAAUAUUGCACAAUGGGCGGAAGCCUGAUGCAGCAACGCCGCGUGCGGGAUGACGGCCUGCGGGGUGUAAACCGCUUUCGCCUGUGACGAAGCGGGAGUGACGGUAAUGGGUAAAGAAGCACCGGCUAACUACGUG
RNAcentral lists this ribosomal RNA (468 nucleotides) under uncultured bacterium. RNAcentral describes it as "partial 16S ribosomal RNA". It matches the Rfam family "Bacterial small subunit ribosomal RNA", at positions 28 to 507 of the family's 1533-position model. The record is from RNAcentral.